This 541-nucleotide long non-coding RNA is filed under the name Lactuca sativa (garden lettuce). RNAcentral describes it as "long non-coding RNA (LSAT_LNC002596)". The record is from RNAcentral. Lineage: Eukaryota; Viridiplantae; Streptophyta; Magnoliopsida; Asterales; Asteraceae.
UCAUGAAAAUGAUGGUGAGGAAACACUUUCACUAAGUAGAUUUUAGCUAGAUAGCAAUUGUGAUAUUUGCAUUCUCAAAGUCGUUAGUGGAGCGUGUGUGGUUUACCGGCACACUAACCUGGACUUGUGAGAAGUGGAAAAAAGGUCUAACCAUUAUGAUUACGGCAUCCCUCUUCAUAAUUGUUUAGACACACAAGUGUGCUAUCUAAGGGAAGGUGUAUGAUUUUGAUAAAGUCUUAUCAAAACAAUCUAGUAUCAGAAAUCUGAACUUUGGUAAGAAAGUCAAUGAAGUAUUGAUUUCUAGAAGUCCAGCUGAUUUCUGAGUACAUGUCAAAGCUAGUGGGAGCAUAAGUGUUAUGCUAAUAAUCAUCAUGUUAGUGGGAGCAUGAUAAUUAUGAUAAGUAUUGCAAGUUAGCAAUGUUAAUUAUAGAAAACAAAAGUUUCAAUUGGGAAAAAGUUGUUUUGCUAUAAUUAAGGGAGAGGAAAUUAUGCUUCAUCUCAAAUCUAUAAGCUUAGAUCGUGAGGUUUUAAUCAUUUAGUC